Pelobates cultripes (western spadefoot toad) is the source of this 254-nucleotide non-coding RNA. The record is from the annotation of a GenBank genome assembly. Lineage: Eukaryota; Metazoa; Chordata; Amphibia; Anura; Pelobatidae.
AUUGCAUUGGAGAAGCCUGGUUGCUCAGCUGUUGCCUUUGGAUUAUGGCCCCAAUGUUAAAAGGCUUGAUUUUCCCCUGCAAAGACAUGAAAGCCGGGUCAUUUGAUGCUUGCCCUGUUUGAGCGGCGAUACCCCAGAUAGCUAUGCCAUUGAGCCCAUUCGUAUAAUGAAAGACUUUGGCUCCAUGGCAAUUGAACUGUAUGUGUGUGCUCUGAGCGCCAUUCAGAUUACUUCCCAAUUAUCUCCAGGAUAGA